GUCACCUCUCCAAGUAAUACUUUAUACUGCCCUGGGACUCUGUAGAGAGUCCCUACCAGCAAGAAGGCUCUCACCAGAUGUGGCCCCUCGACCUUGGAUGUAGCCUCCAGAAUUACUCUAGAAGUAAGGAACCAAGCGCCUCACUGGUGGUGUGGAAGAACUGGGAUUCCCCACAGUGCAGUGGAAAUUCCUGGGAGUCUCGAACCACAUAUUUUCCAUCGACUACAUCCAAAGCUCUGCAAAGAACGGAACCACAGUCAUGUCAAUACACUAUGAACAAUGCCAAAAUCUCAAGAAACCCAAAGGCAUAUUUCUCCAUGUAUUAAUAUAUUUCCAGUCAGCCCAAAUAAUGAAUCAUUCUUCAAAACCUACACGGCGUUGUAGAUAAUUUGGCGCUCUCAUAGCACAUUUAUAAAUAAACCUGGAUGACUUCA
This 434-nucleotide long non-coding RNA is filed under the name Homo sapiens (human). RNAcentral's name for it is "HSALNT0335995". Lineage: Eukaryota; Metazoa; Chordata; Mammalia; Primates; Hominidae. The record is from RNAcentral.